Molecule: ribosomal RNA, 460 nt
Filed under: uncultured bacterium
Lineage: Bacteria
Description: partial 16S ribosomal RNA
Rfam family: Bacterial small subunit ribosomal RNA
Source: RNAcentral
CCUACGGGUGGCAGCAGUGAGGAAUAUUGGUCAAUGGACGAGAGUCUGAACCAGCCAAGUAGCGUGAAGGAUGACUGCCCUAUGGGUUGUAAACUUCUUUUAUAUGGGAAUAAAAUGUUCCACGUGUGGGAUUUUGUAUGUACCAUAUGAAUAAGGAUCGGCUAACUCCGUGCCAGCAGCCGCGGUAAUACGGAGGAUCCGAGCGUUAUCCGGAUUUAUUGGGUUUAAAGGGAGCGUAGGUGGAUUGUUAAGUCAGUUGUGAAAGUUUGCGGCUCAACCGUAAAAUUGCAGUUGAGACUGGCAGUCUUGAGUACAGUAGAGGUAGGCGGAAUUCGUGGUGUAGCGGUGAAAUGCUUAGAUAUCACGAAGAACUCCGAUUGCGAAGGCAGUUCACUAAACUGCCACUGACACUGAGGCUCGAAAGUGUGGGUAUCAAACAGGAUUAGAUACCCUAGUAGUC